This 762-nucleotide ribosomal RNA is filed under the name Triticum aestivum (bread wheat). Its description in RNAcentral is "partial small subunit ribosomal RNA". The record is from RNAcentral. Lineage: Eukaryota; Viridiplantae; Streptophyta; Magnoliopsida; Poales; Poaceae.
AUGGCCGGCAGAGGUCAAAGAGUCAAAGCUCAAAAAUCACGUGGAGUGGAGAAGCAGAGCAACGUUAGUUCAAGGGAAGAGGUUGUUGGAAUGGCGUCCCCUAACACCGGCUCGUCACCAUCACCCGCAGAAGAGAGGUCAGCUGUGAAUAUGUCCGCAAUACAACAAGCUGAUGCUACUGAAAGUGAGGUAGUGAAUGCUGGUACACAAUCUGGUUCUAAGAGAAAACGUAGAUCUGUGGUUUGGAAUGAUUUUGAGGAAGUAAUUGUUGAUGGGAAAUUGAAAGCUGAAUGUGUGUUCUGUCACAAGAAACUUAGUGGGGAACAGUCUCAUGGGACCUCACAUUUAAGGUCUCAUUUGGAAACAUGUGAUGCUAAGAAAUCCAAAGAUUCAAAACAACAAAAAUUGAGGUUGACAAAAGGUGAUGCUGGGAAAGUCAAUUUAGAAAACUAUGUAUUCGACCAAGAUGUUGCUAGGAAAGAACUUGCUAUCAUGAUAUGUGUGCAUGAGUACCCUCUGUCCAUUGUUGAUCAUGCUGGUUUCAGAUCUUUUUGUGCAUCUUUACAACCUAUGUUCAAGAUGGUCAGUAGAAAUACAAUUAAGAAUGAUAUAAUUGGUCUCCAUCAAACACAAAAGAACGCCAUGAUCCAGUAUUUCGCAAAAUUCAACCAUCGAGUGGCUGUGACUAGUGACUUGUGGACUGCUGGACAUCAAAAGAAAGGCUAUAUGGUUGUUACUGCACAUUUCAUUGAUGAAGACUAG